GUGCCAGCCGCCGCGGUAAGACGAACCGUACAAACGUUAUUCGGAAUCACUGGGCUUAAAGGGUGCGUAGGCGGCGGCGCAAGUUGGGUGUGAAAUCCCUCGGCUCAACCGAGGAACUGCGCUCAAAACUGCGUUGCUUGAGGGAGAUAGAGGUGAGUGGAACUUAGGGUGGAGCGGUGAAAUGCGUUGAUAUCCUAAGGAACACCAGUGGCGAAAGCGACUCACUGGGUCUCUUCUGACGCUGAGGCACGAAAGCUAGGGUAGCGAACGGGAUUAGAAACCCGCGUAGUCC
RNAcentral lists this ribosomal RNA (292 nucleotides) under uncultured bacterium. RNAcentral's name for it is "partial 16S ribosomal RNA". It matches the Rfam family "Bacterial small subunit ribosomal RNA", at positions 505 to 796 of the family's 1533-position model. The record is from RNAcentral.